RNAcentral lists this ribosomal RNA (273 nucleotides) under Klebsiella pneumoniae. RNAcentral describes it as "partial 23S ribosomal RNA". It matches the Rfam family "Bacterial large subunit ribosomal RNA", at positions 222 to 533 of the family's 2925-position model. Lineage: Bacteria; Pseudomonadati; Pseudomonadota; Gammaproteobacteria; Enterobacterales; Enterobacteriaceae. The record is from RNAcentral.
AAAUCAACCGAGAUUCCCCCAGUAGCGGCGAGCGAACGGGGAGCAGCCCAGAGUCUGAAUCAGCUUGUGUGUUAGUGGAACGGUCUGGAAAGUCCGACGGUACAGGGUGAUAGUCCCGUACACCAAAAUGCACAGGCUGUGAACUCGAAGAGUAGGGCGGGACACGUGGUAUCCUGUCUGAAUAUGGGGGGACCAUCCUCCAAGGCUAAAUACUCCUGACUGACCGAUAGUGAACCAGUACCGUGAGGGAAAGGCGAAAAGAACCCCGGCGAG